UACAUCCUGCGAUGUGCGUUACGGCUCAUACGUGUUUUGAACCAAUGGCUGUUUCACGGGAGACCAACAUCGGAACGCGGCUGACACGCCCUAACUCAGGGAUCUCAAAACCGUUUCUGCGGACACCCACCUGCGAGAGCGGGUUCAGAAACAAGGCAGUCGGACGGCAUGGCGGGUUUUUA
RNAcentral lists this non-coding RNA (182 nucleotides) under Paenibacillus mendelii. RNAcentral's name for it is "6S RNA". It matches the Rfam family "6S / SsrS RNA". From Rfam's summary of the family: E. coli 6S RNA was the first non coding RNA to be sequenced, but its function was unknown until recently. The record is from RNAcentral. Lineage: Bacteria; Bacillati; Bacillota; Bacilli; Caryophanales; Paenibacillaceae.